Molecule: non-coding RNA, 3268 nt
Organism: Camellia sinensis
Lineage: Eukaryota; Viridiplantae; Streptophyta; Magnoliopsida; Ericales; Theaceae
Source: RefSeq, a predicted model, not a curated record
GUUGUGGAAGACAUAAAAUAAUAUUAAAAGACACGCAUUCAACUUUGUACCGUGCUCUGUCUCCCUCAGUCUCCAUUUGGCUUUCCGUCAUUUUGCUUUCUCUCUUCUUGUUUUCUGUUACCGUCCAAGAACUAGGGUUUUCUAUCUGUCAUCAUUCUCUGUGAGAGAUUCACCAGGUUCGAUUCCGAUUACUUGUUCAGAUCCAUCGAUUAGGAGUUCCAUCGAUUCAGAUCCAUUGAUUUUGUUUUCUCUCUUCAUUUCUCUAUCUUCUCGUUUUCUGUCACCGUCCAAGAUCUAGGGUUUUCUGUCUCUCUUCAUUCUCCUUGAGAGAUUCACCAGGUUCGAUUCCGAUUACUUGUUCAGAUCCAUCGAUUCUUGAAUCGAUUUGGUUGAAACAGGGACCAAGAUCAAGAUCAGUCGAGUCGCAGCAAGAUGAAGAGAGGAGAUAGGUUGAUUCGCGGGAGUAAUAGAGAAAAUGAUGGUGAGGACAGUUCAGGGGAGAGAGUGAAUGAUGAGGAGGACGAUGACGAUUACGAUGGAGUCGCCACCGCAUUGUCAAUCUAGGGUUUGAUUGGAGCUCUAGGGUUUUAGAGCCCCUCGAGACUCGUCAUGGCUACUCCGUUUCACGUGUUGGGAUGUACUUUGUUGGGCAGUAUUACCAGGUACUUCAGCAGCAGCCAGAUUUUGUUCACCAGUUUUGCAAUGAGGCCGGCACUAUGCUUCGUAUUGAUGGGAACUCAAGAGAGACAGCCACGGCAAUGCUAGUAAUGUCUUUUUAAGUUUUCUCUGUAUGUUUGUGAGUGUGUGUAUGUACUUGAAUUUAUGUAUUUGAAUUAUAAUUGAGGGUAGAUUUCCAACAAUCAAAUAUGCAUGUACCUUGUCGAUAUUGGGUGUAAUCUUCAGUGUUAUGUACUUGUCUGAAUAAGACCUGCAGAUGCUUUUGCUGUGAUGAUUUCUCUGUUUUAAUUCUACUUGAAGUUUCUCAGUCAUAAUUUCGUUGUUUUCUCUAAGAGGUAAAUGAGAUAUGGACAGGUUUGGGCUUUUAAGACGGGCAUGAUAUCUACUAGAAGUGAGCUCUUCUUUUGACUCUUGUGCAGAUAGAUAUUUGUAACGCUAUUUGAUAUGAAUCUAUUUCUUAUUGGAUUUCAUUUGGUAUUUAAAAAUGGCAUUCUUAAUGGAUAGGAUGUGCUCUUCAAGUUCAUUGGUUGACAGCGAUACUAACCAAUUUCUUGUUAUCUAAUUGCUUUAAGUUCUUGAUGAGUAUUUGGUUUCACUUUGCUUAUAGUUAUAUUGGCUAAGAACUUUUAGUAGCUUACUUGGUUGUUUUCCAGAACGAUCAUGAUCUAUCCAAGUUAGUGGCAGAGACUCCAUGUGAGCUACUAAGGUAUUUGGUCUUAGUUGUAAUUGACAAUAAUACUUGCAAGGAUGCAACUGUUAUCCAGGUAGGACCUAUGCCUUCGCUCUCCGAUGAUAUGGUUGGCAAGGUUUCUAAAAAUUGAGGUUGAGUAUUUGGUUUUGCUUUGGUUGGUCUAUUUGCUUUGGUUGGUCUAUUUGCUUUUCGACUUUCUCAUUAUAGAUGGCGCAUCUUAUUUAGGUUGAUAGUGUCAACAAGCAUGGGAUUCUCCUGGCAGUUGUCCAAGUUCUUACUAAUUUGAACCUUGUUAUUAGGAAGGCAUAUCUCAUCUAAUGGGGGUUGAUUUAUAGAUGGUAUAGUUUCUUCUUUAACUGUCACAAGCAAAUUCGAAAAAAGAUUUAUGAGCUUCACCUUUUUUGUUUCUUAUAUUGUUUCUUCUUCAAAAUUUGUUGUUUCAAUGUUUAAUGUGGUUGACCAAUGUGGGAAUAAAAUUAGAGAUGAAGGGGUCAUCAAUUACAUCCAGAAGGUAUCUACAGUUUUGUAAUUCUAUUACAAUCAAGCACCUCAAUUUAGAUAAGCAUAAAUAAAGCAAUUCGCCUUGCAAACUGGAGAGGUUAAAGAUUGUCUAUUAGGUGCUUCUGUGUAGUUGAAUAUAACCAACACAGCCUUAUAACUUCCUUUAAUAAGUGAUGAAGAAAACAAUGAAACAGAGCAACCUAGAGGGAUAUUGUUCCAUUAUUUGAUGAUUAAUUUUUCUAGCACAUUUGAAAUCUUUUAGGCUUUUUGGUAAAUUCACCUUGUUGAAGUGCAACUGUCAUGCUGCUAUAUUUCCUGUGGUCAAUGUAAUAAAUUAUCAAAACAAAGGCCCAUUGUGAGGAUUUGGUAAUUUAAACCAAAUCUGGCUAUAAUUAGAUUGUUUUUUGUUAAAUUGAUUCUCUUCUUAAUUUGAGCUAAAAACUACUUUGAUUCCUCUUUUGGUGUUAAUUGCAUGCUGAAUUUGAAGAAAUUGAGUUGGUUUUGCUAUCCACUUCGUGCUCUUUCGAAACAUUCCUUGCAGAAGCUUUGAAUUUCAAUAUAAUUUAUCUCAUUGUAGGUGGUGUAAUUAGAGAAGGAGAAGAAGAUGAGUGAGAGCUAGAGGUUUCAACUUGGGACUGUUGAAUCUUUGACUCUUUCGGUGGCUUCAUCAGUAUCAAUUGUGAUCUGCAAUAAGGCACUUAUCAGCACAUUAAGUUUCAAUUUUGGUGAGUUGCUCACAAUCCCUUCCAGCCUUCUUCCUUCAAUUAAUCUUUCCUAUAAUGAGGACAAAAAUUCAAAAUUUUUGGCUGCUUUGUCUACUCCAAAGGGUAACAGAAACACCUCAACUGAAGCUAAAAAAUUGAACAAUACAUCAAAGGUAUAUCUGUCUCCUUGUUCUUAAUAUGAGAUGAAAGGUGCAAAUUAUUCGUACAUAGUUAAGAAUUUACUGAAACAAAAUAUUUCAAAUUUGAUUGUUUAUCGGAAAAAAAGAGUUUGGAUUUGAAAGUUUAAAAAUUAUUAUCUUCUUUGUCUUUUAGCAAACCAUUUAAUGGAGAAAGAAUUAGAAAUGAUGUUCUUACAUUAAUAUCUUGAAGGGAUCAACAGUUAUAUCCAUCUUUGACAUUCCUGCAUGCUCAUGAUUCUAAUGCAGAUUUGGGUCCCAUUUAAUCCAUGAGGUGCAGAAAUAUUACCCCCAGCCAUUGUUGUUGCAACUUACAGCUGAGUCAGACUUCUAAUUAUCUGUGGACAGUUGCUAAUUAUUAUUUUGUUGUAAUUUUCUUUUCAGUGUAUACUAAGAUAUUGUAUUCUUCUCAUUUGCCUUUAUGUAGCUAUGACUUUGACAAGCUAGCAUCUUCUUGUCACAUUCUGUUCUCUUCAAGAGUGUGGUUUGAGAUUGAA